UACGUAGGGGGGCCAGCGUUGCUCGGAAUUACUGGGCGUAAAGGGUUCGUAGGCGGUGCGGCAAGUUGGGAGUGAAAUCUCUGGGCUUAACCCAGAGGCUGCUUUCAAAACUGCCGCGCUCGAGUGCGAGAGAGGUCAGUGGAAUUGCAGGUGUAGCGGUGAAAUGCGUAGAUAUCUGCAGGAACACCAGAGGCGAAGGCGGCUCACUGGAUCGCAACUGACGCUGAGAGACGAAAGCUAGGGGAGCAAACAGG
RNAcentral lists this ribosomal RNA (254 nucleotides) under uncultured bacterium. Its description in RNAcentral is "partial 16S ribosomal RNA". It matches the Rfam family "Bacterial small subunit ribosomal RNA", at positions 524 to 776 of the family's 1533-position model. The record is from RNAcentral.